RNAcentral lists this long non-coding RNA (1324 nucleotides) under Brassica rapa (field mustard). RNAcentral describes it as "long non-coding RNA (BRAP_LNC003793)". Lineage: Eukaryota; Viridiplantae; Streptophyta; Magnoliopsida; Brassicales; Brassicaceae. The record is from RNAcentral.
UUACCAUUUUUCACUUAAAAAAAACGGCUUAUCUCCAUAAUGUAACAUUACCGUUUUAUAAAAAAACAAAAAACAUUAUAUAUAAUUUCGAAAAUAAUAAAUAUAUGUAAACAUACAACAUAAAAAAUAGAAAUACUACAUUAAACAUAUGUAAGAUUACCAUUUUACAUUUUUAUUUUUAAAAAUAAUAUGCAAACAUAUAACAUAAAAAAUGGAAAAACUACAUUAACCAUAUGUAAGAUUACAAUUUUUCACUAAAAAAAAGACGGCUUAUCUCCAUAAUGUAACAUUACCAUUUUGUAAAAAAACAUUAUAUAUAAUUUUGAAAAUGAUAAAUAAUAUGUAAACAUAUAACAUAAAAAAUGGAAAUACUACACUAAACAUAUGUAAGAUUACCAUUUUACAUUUAAAAAUAACAAUAAUAUGUAAACAUACAACAUAAAAAAAUGGAAAUCUACAUUAAACAUAUGUAAGAUUACUAUUUUUCACUAAAAAAACGGUUUAUCUCCAUAAUAUAACAUUACCAUUUUAUAAAAAAAAAGAAAAAAAAACAUAAAUAUAACUAUUUUACAUUUUACAUUUUUAUAUUGUAAAAUUACCAUUUUACAUUUUUAUUUUAAAAAAUAAUAUGCAAACAUACAACAUAAAAAAUGAAAAAACUACAUUAACCAUAUGUAAGAUUACAAUUUUUCACUAAAAAAAAGACGGCUUAUCUCCAUAAUGUAACAUUACUAUUUUGUAAAAAAAAUUAUAUAUAAUUUUGAAAAUGAUAAAUAAUAUGUAAACAUACAACAUAAAAAAUGGAAAUACUACACUAAACAUAUGUAAGAUUACCAUUUUACAUUUAAAAAUAACAAUAAUAUGUAAACAUACAACAUAAAAAAAUGGAAAUCUACAUUAAGCAUAUGUAAGAUUAUUAUUUUUCACUAAAAAACGGUUUAUCUCCAUAAUGUAACAUUACCAUUUUAUAAAAAAAUAAAAAAAAACAUAAAUAUAACUAUUUGACUAUUUGUCCAAAUUCUUCUAUUAAACAUUGUCGUUGUACAUUAAAAAUGGAAAAAUACAUUAAAACUUAAACAUCUAUCUUAAAAUAUAAAAUAUAGAUAUUAACUAAAUAUAAAGUAUAAGAAAGAGAAAUACUCAAUAUAUAGAAAAAUAAAUAAUAAGUAUAUAUUAUAAAUAUAUAAAUAUACGAAUUAUAUAUACAAUAAUAAGUAAAUGCACAAUUUUAAAAAAAUGGAAAGAAUACAUUAAAUAUUAAACACCUAUCUUAAAAAUGUAAAAUAUAGAUAUUAAGUAAAUAGAAAGUAUAAGAAAAAGAAAU